This 398-nucleotide ribosomal RNA is filed under the name uncultured bacterium. RNAcentral describes it as "partial 16S ribosomal RNA". It matches the Rfam family "Bacterial small subunit ribosomal RNA", at positions 359 to 773 of the family's 1533-position model. The record is from RNAcentral.
GAAUAUUGGACAAUGGGCGAAAGCCUGAUCCAGCCAUGCCGCGUGUGUGAAGAAGGUCUUCGGGUUGUAAACUUUUGUCUUCAGGGAAGAAUAAUGACGGUACCUUAUGAGGAAGCCACGGCUAACUACGUGCGCGCAGCCGCGGUAAUACGUAGGUGGCAAGCGUUUGCCGGAAUUACUGGGGGUAAAGGGUGCGUAGGCGGGUAGUAAAGUCAGGUGUGAAAUGCCGGGGCUCAACUCCGGAGGUGCAUUUGAAACUUAUUAUCGUGAGUGAAGUAGAGGCAAGUGGAAUUCCCAGUGUAGCGGUGAAAUGCGUAGAUAUUGGGAGGAACACCAGUGGCGAAGGCGACUGCCUGGACGAUAACUGACGCUGAGGCACGAAAGCUAGGGGAGCAAAC